Long non-coding RNA from Clupea harengus (Atlantic herring), 548 nucleotides. The record is from Ensembl. NCBI's taxonomy places the organism in Eukaryota, Metazoa, Chordata, Actinopteri, Clupeiformes, Clupeidae.
GGCUACUCUCGGGAACCGGCAGCGUCAAUGACGCCCGAAUAACAACAGCUAGGCCGGUUCCGAUGCUCAGUUACACAUACAUAGUACCUUCGGAGGUCGAAGCCUGAAACAGGCGAGGAAGCACAGGACCCUUGCGUGCCUGAUAGAGAAACUCUCCAGGCGGAAUACAAGCCUGUAGCAGAGCUGGCUUGGGAGGCGCAAUCGCCACGGAGGAAAACUCCUUUAUACCAACAUCUAACGAUGUAGCCACUCAAUUGCAACCAGGCCGCUUGUGGAUUCCGGUGCUCCCUUCACAAAACGCCUCUCCUAUGGAUAAGUUCCCGUCUGCAUUAAGUACUGCGUUCAAUCACGUCUGAGGUUCACGGAUUGGUGGAGCUAAAACGGAGGGAGAGGACAGCAAUCAGUGGACAGCAGACCGAGAGAGAAAGAAAACAAGGCAAUGGGGCAGUCCUACUACACGUCACAUCAAACACCUGUGAAUUACGACGACAGAGACCUCAAGAAACCCAGGACCUAACUAUUACCAGAGGGCUGAGAGACAAACAGGG